GAUGAACGCUGGCGGCGUGCUUAACACAUGCAAGUCGAACGGAAAGGCCGAAGCUUGCUUCGGUACUCGAGUGGCGAACGGGUGAGCAACACGUGGGUGAUCUGCCCUGUACUUCGGGAUAAGCUUGGGAAACUGGGUCUAAUACCGGAUAUGACGAUCUCUUGGAUGGGGUUGUGGAAAGCUUUUGCGGUAUGGGAUGAGCUCGCGGCCUAUCAGCUUGUUGGUGGGGUAAUGGCCUACCAAGGCGUCGACGGGUAGCCGGCCUGAGAGGGUGUACGGCCACAUUGGGACUGAGAUACGGCCCAGACUCCUACGGGAGGCAGCAGUGGGGAAUAUUGCACAAUGGGCGCAAGCCUGAUGCAGCGACGCCGCGUGGGGGAUGACGGCCUUCGGGUUGUAAACUCCUUUCGCAAUCGACGAAGCCUUUUGGUGACGGUAGGUUGAGAAGAAGCACCGGCUAACUACGUG
This 468-nucleotide ribosomal RNA is filed under the name uncultured bacterium. RNAcentral describes it as "partial 16S ribosomal RNA". It matches the Rfam family "Bacterial small subunit ribosomal RNA", at positions 28 to 507 of the family's 1533-position model. The record is from RNAcentral.